This 71-nucleotide transfer RNA is filed under the name Spirochaetota bacterium. Its description in RNAcentral is "Spirochaetes bacterium tRNA-Gln". It matches the Rfam family "tRNA". Rfam says of the family: Transfer RNA (tRNA) molecules are approximately 80 nucleotides in length. Their secondary structure includes four short double-helical elements and three loops (D, anti-codon, and T loops). Lineage: Bacteria; Pseudomonadati; Spirochaetota. The record is from RNAcentral.
UGCCGGAUCGUCUAAUGGUAGGACACAGGCCUUUGAAGCCUGGUAUCCUGGUUCGAGUCCAGGUCCGGCAG